RNAcentral lists this non-coding RNA (71 nucleotides) under uncultured Ruminococcus sp. RNAcentral's name for it is "S10-Clostridia ribosomal protein leader". It matches the Rfam family "S10-Clostridia ribosomal protein leader". Lineage: Bacteria; Bacillati; Bacillota; Clostridia; Eubacteriales; Oscillospiraceae. The record is from RNAcentral.
GCGAUGAAGCGGGAGGUUGCGGCUUUUCAGCCGGUUUUUCCGUGGAGUAUGUCCGAUUUUAAACCGGGCGA